UACGGGAGGCAGCAGUGGGGAAUAUUGCACAAUGGGCGAAAGCCUGAUGCAGCUAUGCCGCGUGUAUGAAGAAGGCCUUAGGGUUGUAAAGUACUUUCAUCGGGGAGGAAAAACAAAACUAAUAAUUUUAUUUCUUGACGUUACCCGAAAAAGAAGCACCGGCUAACUCCGUGCCAUCAGCCGCGGUAAUACGGAGGGUGCUAGCGUUAAUCAGAAUUACUGGGCGUAAAGAGCACGUAGGUGGUUUUUUAAGUCAGAUGUGAAAUCCCUGGGCUUAACCUAGGAACUGCAUUUUGAAACUGAAAUACUAGAGUAUCGUAGAGGGAGGUAGAAUUCUAGGUGUAGCGGUGAAAUGCGUAGAUAUCUGGAGGAAUACCUGUGGCGAAAGCGGCCUCCUAAACGAAUACUGACACUGAGGUGCGAAAGCGUGGGGAGCAAACAGGGAUUAGAUACC
This 454-nucleotide ribosomal RNA is filed under the name uncultured bacterium. Its description in RNAcentral is "bacterial SSU rRNA". It matches the Rfam family "Bacterial small subunit ribosomal RNA", at positions 340 to 786 of the family's 1533-position model. The record is from RNAcentral.